Molecule: ribosomal RNA, 1242 nt
Filed under: Micrococcus sp. BAB-2944
Lineage: Bacteria; Bacillati; Actinomycetota; Actinomycetes; Micrococcales; Micrococcaceae
Description: bacterial SSU rRNA
Rfam family: Bacterial small subunit ribosomal RNA
Source: RNAcentral
GGGUCUAAUACCGGAUAGGAGCAUUCACCGCAUGGUGGGUGUUGGAAAGAAUUUCGGUCUUGGAUGGACUCGCGGCCCAUCAGCUUGUUGGUGAGGUAAUGGCUCACCAAGGCGACGACGGGUAGCCGGCCUGAGAGGGUGACCGGCCACACUGGGACUGAGACACGGCCCAGACUCCUACGGGAGGCAGCAGUGGGGAAUAUUGCACAAUGGGCGCAAGCCUGAUGCAGCGACGCCGCGUGAGGGAUGACGGCCUUCGGGUUGUAAACCUCUUUCAGUAGGGAAGAAGCGAAAGUGACGGUACCUGCAGAAGAAGCACCGGCUAACUACGUGCCAGCAGCCGCGGUAAUACGUAGGGUGCGAGCGUUAUCCGGAAUUAUUGGGCGUAAAGAGCUCGUAGGCGGUUUGUCGCGUCUGCCGUGAAAGUCCGGGGCUUAACUCCGGAUCUGCGGUGGGUACGGGCAGACUAGAGUGCAGUAGGGGAGACUGGAAUUCCUGGUGUAGCGGUGGAAUGCGCAGAUAUCAGGAGGAACACCGAUGGCGAAGGCAGGUCUCUGGGCUGUAACUGACGCUGAGGAGCGAAAGCAUGGGGAGCGAACAGGAUUAGAUACCCUGGUAGUCCAUGCCGUAAACGUUGGGCACUAGGUGUGGGGGCCAUUCUCACGGUUUCCGCGCCGCAGCUAACGCAUUAAGUGCCCCGCCUGGGGAGUACGGCCGCAAGGCUAAAACUCAAAGGAAUUGACGGGGGCCCGCACAAGCGGCGGAGCAUGCGGAUUAAUUCGAUGCAACGCGAAGAACCUUACCAAGGCUUGACAUGUUCUCGUUCGCCGUAGAGAUACGGUUUCCCCUUUGGGGCGGGUUCACAGGUGGUGCAUGGUUGUCGUCAGCUCGUGUCGUGAGAUGUUGGGUUAAGUCCCGCAACGAGCGCAACCCCUGUUCUAUGUUGCCAGCACGUGAUGGUGGGGACUCAUGGGAGACUGCCGGGGUCAACUCGGAGGAAGGUGGGGACGACGUCAAAUCAUCAUGCCCCUUAUGUCUUGGGCUUCACGCAUGCUACAAUGGCCGGUACAAUGGGUUGCGAUACUGUGAGGUGGAGCUAAUCCCAAAAAGCCGGUCUCAGUUCGGAUUGGGGUCUGCAACUCGACCCCAUGAAGUUGGAGUCGCUAGUAAUCGCAGAUCAGCAACGCUGCGGUGAAUACGUUCCCGGGCCUUGUACACACCGCCCGUCAAGUCACGAAAGUC